UACGUAGGGUGCGAGCGUUAAUCGGAAUUACUGGGCGUAAAGCGUGCGUAGGCGGUUUUGUAAGUCAGAUGUGAAAUCCCCGGGCUUAACCUGGGAACUGCGUUUGAAACUACAAGGCUAGAGUGUGGCAGAGGGGGGUGGAAUUCCACGUGUAGCAGUGAAAUGCGUAGAGAUGUGGAGGAACACCGAUGGCGAAGGCAGCCCCCUGGGUUAACACUGACGCUCAGGCACGAAAGCGUGGGGAGCAAACAGG
RNAcentral lists this ribosomal RNA (253 nucleotides) under uncultured bacterium. Its description in RNAcentral is "partial 16S ribosomal RNA". It matches the Rfam family "Bacterial small subunit ribosomal RNA", at positions 524 to 776 of the family's 1533-position model. The record is from RNAcentral.